AGCAGCGUGGCCUAGUGGACAGAGCACAGGCCUGGGGAACCAGUGGAUCUGGGUUCUAAUCCCAGCUCUACCA
RNAcentral lists this transfer RNA (73 nucleotides) under Ornithorhynchus anatinus (platypus). It matches the Rfam family "tRNA". Rfam says of the family: Transfer RNA (tRNA) molecules are approximately 80 nucleotides in length. Their secondary structure includes four short double-helical elements and three loops (D, anti-codon, and T loops). The record is from Rfam by way of RNAcentral. Lineage: Eukaryota; Metazoa; Chordata; Mammalia; Monotremata; Ornithorhynchidae.